UACAGAGGGGGCAAGCGUUGUUCGGAAUUACUGGGCGUAAAGGGCGCGUAGGCGGCUUGUUAAGUCGGACGUGAAAUCCCUCGGCUCAACCUGGGAACUGCGUCCGAUACUGGCGGGCUUGAAUUCGGGAGAGGGAUGUGGAAUUCCCAGUGUAGAGGUGAAAUUCGUAGAUAUUAGGAGGAACGCCGGUGGCGUAGGCGGCGACCUGGAUCGAGACUGACGCUGAGGCGCGAAAGCGUGGGUAGCAAACAGG
RNAcentral lists this ribosomal RNA (253 nucleotides) under uncultured bacterium. RNAcentral describes it as "partial 16S ribosomal RNA". It matches the Rfam family "Bacterial small subunit ribosomal RNA", at positions 524 to 776 of the family's 1533-position model. The record is from RNAcentral.